Molecule: unclassified non-coding RNA, 364 nt
Filed under: uncultured Ascomycota
Lineage: Eukaryota; Fungi; Ascomycota
Description: sequence contains ITS2
Rfam family: 5.8S ribosomal RNA (bases 1-153)
Source: RNAcentral
AACUUUUGGCAAUGGUCUCUUGGUUCUGGCAUCGAUGAAGAACGCAGCGAAAUGCGAUAAGUAAUGUGAAUUGCAGAAUUCAGUGAAUCAUCGAAUCUUUGAACGCACAUUGCGCCCCUUGGUAUUCCGGGGGGCAUGCCUGUUCGAGCGUCAUUUCAACCCUCAAGCCUAGCUUGGUCUUGGGCUCUGCCGGUAACGGCUGGCCUUAAAAUCAGUGGCGGUGCCAUCGAGCUCUACGCGUAGUAAUUAAACCCUCGCGUGUGAGUCUCGUUGAGUGCUUGCCAGUAACCCCCAAUUUUCUAUGGUUGACCUCGGAUCAGGUAGGGAUACCCGCUGAACUUAAGCAUAUCAAUAAGCGGAGGCU